GACACCCGACGCGGGAGUCCCGGGACCGGGGCUGAGAGUGGGCCAAUCACCGGCCCUGACCGUUGCACCUGAUCCGGGUCAUGCCGGCGAAGGGAGAGGGAAUGUCUGAGCG
This 112-nucleotide non-coding RNA is filed under the name Mycolicibacterium cosmeticum. RNAcentral describes it as "Mycobacterium cosmeticum TPP sequence". It matches the Rfam family "TPP riboswitch aptamer (THI element)". Rfam says of the family: Vitamin B(1) in its active form thiamin pyrophosphate (TPP) is an essential coenzyme that is synthesised by coupling of pyrimidine and thiazole moieties in bacteria. Lineage: Bacteria; Bacillati; Actinomycetota; Actinomycetes; Mycobacteriales; Mycobacteriaceae. The record is from Rfam by way of RNAcentral.